RNAcentral lists this ribosomal RNA (498 nucleotides) under uncultured bacterium. RNAcentral's name for it is "partial 16S ribosomal RNA". It matches the Rfam family "Bacterial small subunit ribosomal RNA", at positions 899 to 1397 of the family's 1533-position model. The record is from RNAcentral.
ACUCAAAUGAAUUGACGGGGGCCCGCACAAGCGGUGGAACAUGUGGUUCAAUUCGACGCAACGCGAAGAACCUUACCUGGGCUUGAACCGCGCACGACCAGCCGUGGAAACAUGGCCUUCCCGCAAGGGACGUGCGUAGAGGUGCUGCAUGGCUGUCGUCAGCUCGUGCCGUGAGGUGUUGGGUUAAGUCCCGCAACGAGCGCAACCCUUACACGUAGUUGCCACCCGCAAGGGGGAACUCUACGUGGACUGCUCCGGAUAACGGAGAGGAAGGUGGGGAUGACGUCAAGUCAGCAUGGCCUUUAUGUCCAGGGCUACACACGUGUUACAAUGCACGAUACAAACCGUCGCAGAGCCGCGAGGUGAAGCUAAUCGGAGAAAAUCGUGCUCAGUUCGGAUUGCAGUCUGCAACUCGACUGCAUGAAGCCGGAAUCGCUAGUAAUGGCGUAUCAGAACGACGCCGUGAAUACGUUCCCGGGCCUUGCACACACCGCCCGU